Molecule: transfer RNA, 72 nt
Filed under: Bos taurus (domestic cattle)
Lineage: Eukaryota; Metazoa; Chordata; Mammalia; Artiodactyla; Bovidae
Also listed under: 5 other names
Rfam family: tRNA
About the family: Transfer RNA (tRNA) molecules are approximately 80 nucleotides in length. Their secondary structure includes four short double-helical elements and three loops (D, anti-codon, and T loops).
Source: Rfam by way of RNAcentral
UCCCUGAUGGCUCAAUGGUAAAGAAUCUGCCUGCAAUGCAGGAGAACACGGGUUCGAUCCCUGUGUCGGGAA